GAAUUCGGCAAAUAUUUAUAUUCACUUGUUUAUCAAAAACAUGUCUUUUUGUUAAUAAUUUAAAGUCUAAUCUGCCCACUGAUAUAUUUAUUAAAGGGCUGCAGUAUUUUGACUGUACAAAGGUAGCAUAAUCAUUAGUCUUUUAAUUGGUGACUUGUAUGAAAGAUUGGAUGAAAUAUAAACUGUCUCUUUUAUAAAAAAAAAAUUGAAUUUAAUUUUUUAAUUAAAAAGUUAAAAUUAUUUAAAAAGACGAGAAGACCCUAUAGAGUUUUAUAAUUUAUUUUGUAAAUAUUUUUAUUUUUAUAUUUUUAUAAUUUUAAAUUAUUUUGUUGGGGUGAUAAAAAAAUUUAAUUAACUUUUUUUAAUAGUUUACAUUAAUAAGUGAUUAAAUGAUCCAAUUUUAUUGAUUAAAAGAAAAAAUUACCUUAGGGAUAACAGCGUAAUUUUUUUUUUUAGUUCAAAUAAAAAGAAAAGUUUGCGACCUCGAUGUUGGAUUAAGAUAAAAUUUAAAUGUAGAAGUUUAAAAUUUUGAUCUGUUCGAUCAUUAAAAUCUUACAUGAUCUGAGUUCAAACCGGUGUGAGCCAGGUUGGUUUCUAUCUUUUAAUAUUUAUAAUAUUUUAGUACGAAAGGAUUAAAUAUUACAAUUAUAUUGAGUUGUGUUGAAUUUUAUUAAGUUUUAUUUAAAUUAGUAAUUAUUUUAAUUUAUUUAUAAACUA
RNAcentral lists this ribosomal RNA (717 nucleotides) under Bombyx mori (domestic silkworm). RNAcentral's name for it is "large subunit ribosomal RNA". The stretch from base 431 to 589 matches the Rfam family "Bacterial large subunit ribosomal RNA", at positions 2473 to 2632 of the family's 2925-position model. Lineage: Eukaryota; Metazoa; Arthropoda; Insecta; Lepidoptera; Bombycidae. The record is from RNAcentral.